Daphnia pulicaria is the source of this 1154-nucleotide long non-coding RNA. RefSeq lists it as uncharacterized. Lineage: Eukaryota; Metazoa; Arthropoda; Branchiopoda; Diplostraca; Daphniidae. The transcript is spliced from 6 exons. The record is from RefSeq and is a predicted model, not a curated record.
GUCGCCCUUGUUGUUCUUACUUACAUCGUUUCGAAAAUAUUGGUUGCUAAUUUAUACUUACAUUCCUGUGAUUUCAAAUACCGAAUUUAACUUCAUAUCUUAUAAGCAUACUGUCAGUCAUUCCAUAAGUUGACUUAGAGCUCACUUUUCAUCCGUUAUAUCCUCGUGCUGUCAAUAGCCUAAAACUCAUGUUUGAAGCCCACACAUAGAGGAAUACAAAUGUAUUGAGAUAAGGAUCUUUUCUGAAUCUCGCAAUUUUGGUGGUGUACCCUGCACCAGCAUGUUUGUUGUUAUGGCUGUUUUUACUUCAUUGGUUUAGAAGGCAACCCAGCUAAGAGUUAGAGUUUCAGUGACAUGAAGAGUGUGAAGUGAACCACCUAUCACCAUGCUACUAUAACACCAUGACACUUUCUUUAGCAUCAGGAAAUGUAUCUCAACAUGAGGAGUAAGACGGUUUGUUCCUGUGAUUUCCAUUUUUACGGUUUUUUCAUCAUGAAAAUUGCAGUGUGCUUCUUAGAAAAGAGCACACGGUUUUUUUAUGGAAUCGUGUGGUCCUGGCACGGAGAUUCUUGUGCCAAUGCUUACUUUUGUUCACGACGGAAGGGGGACUUCCAUCAACGUUCUUCUCCAUCCUUAUCUUCGCGACGCACGCUCAACUAGCUUCACUGCUUCUAAACACAAUUUGUUUUACUUCACUGGUGACUUGGCGAGGACCACUUUUUCAGUGAUCGCUUCCGUCCGCUGUUACACACCUGCAGUCACUCACCACGGGAUUAUACGGGAUUAUGCCCAGGUAAUGCAGAGGAAACGUCGAGAAGAUGGACAUUUCAACGUCGUCGGUAUCUCGAAAAUGUCAGCGCGGAUCCUCAUUUGUUGUUGGUAAUAUGUUUGUGUUAGUAAACCCGUUGACUGCCACGCCUUUGUUCUCCCCUGCACGGGCCGCGCUGUUCGGUCUCGUGGUUUACAAGCCACGGGGUCGGAGAGUCGCCAAGCCCAAAAUUUGCCGCAAGGCGCCUGUUUCAGGCAAUGCACCUUAGUCCCCUCCUUGUCAGCAAGGACUUGUCAGCAAUGGCAAGUCCCACUUGGUCAUGGAUCCUUAAGACGUGGCGCGUAGAGUAGUAGAGAGCAACCUACGGGUUGUAUGGCGUGGCAGC